RNAcentral lists this ribosomal RNA (113 nucleotides) under Acanthosepion pharaonis. Lineage: Eukaryota; Metazoa; Mollusca; Cephalopoda; Sepiida; Sepiidae. The record is from RNAcentral.
UUCGGUCAAAUCACGCUGAAACACCGGUUCUCGUACGAUCACUGAAGUUAAGCAGCGUAGAGCCAGGUCAGUACUUAGAUGGGGGACCGCUUGGGAACACCUGGUACUGUAAG